AUUGAACGCUGGCGGCAGGCCUAACACAUGCAAGUCGAACGGAGUGGCGGACGGGUGAGUAAUGUCUGGGAAACUGCCUGGUAGAGGGGGAUAACGUCCGGAAACGGGCGCUAAUACCGCAUACUAUCAGAUGAUCCUAGGUCGGAUUAGCUAGUUGGUGGGGUAAAGGCCUACCAAGGCGACGAUCCGUAACUGGUCUGAGAGGAUGAUCAGCCACACUGGAACUGAGACACGGUCCAGACUCCUACGGGAGGCAGCAGUGGGGAAUAUUGGACAAUGGGCGAAAGCCUGAGCAAGCCAUGCCGCGUGUGUGAAGAAGGUCUUCGGAUUGUAAAGCACUUUAAGUUGGGAGGCGUUACCAACAGAAUAAGCACCGGCUAACUUCGUGCCAGCCGCCGCGGUAAUAC
This 407-nucleotide ribosomal RNA is filed under the name uncultured bacterium. RNAcentral describes it as "partial 16S ribosomal RNA". It matches the Rfam family "Bacterial small subunit ribosomal RNA", at positions 30 to 526 of the family's 1533-position model. The record is from RNAcentral.